UACGUAGGUGGCGAGCGUUGUCCGGGUUUACUGGGCGUAAAGGGCGUGCAGGCGGUUUGUUAAGUGCAGGGUGAAAGCUCCCGGCUCAACUGGGAGAGGUCCUUGCAUACUGGCGAACUCGAGGGAGGCAGAGGAAAGUGGAAUUCCCGGUGUAGUGGUGAUAUGCGUAGAUAUCGGGAGGAACACCUGUGGCGAAGGCGGCUUUCUGGGCCUUACCUGACGCUGAGACGCGAAAGCGUGGGGAGCGAACCGG
RNAcentral lists this ribosomal RNA (253 nucleotides) under uncultured bacterium. RNAcentral's name for it is "partial 16S ribosomal RNA". It matches the Rfam family "Bacterial small subunit ribosomal RNA", at positions 524 to 776 of the family's 1533-position model. The record is from RNAcentral.